This 73-nucleotide transfer RNA is filed under the name Myotis lucifugus (little brown bat). It matches the Rfam family "tRNA". From Rfam's summary of the family: Transfer RNA (tRNA) molecules are approximately 80 nucleotides in length. Lineage: Eukaryota; Metazoa; Chordata; Mammalia; Chiroptera; Vespertilionidae. The record is from Rfam by way of RNAcentral.
GCCCGUUUGGCUCAGUGGAUGGAGCAUCGGCCUGCAGACCUAAGGGUCCCAGGUUCGAUUCCUGGUCAGGGUA